Molecule: long non-coding RNA, 1343 nt
Filed under: Brassica rapa (field mustard)
Lineage: Eukaryota; Viridiplantae; Streptophyta; Magnoliopsida; Brassicales; Brassicaceae
Description: long non-coding RNA (BRAP_LNC003240)
Source: RNAcentral
CGGUUUCAUUUUUUCAGUCAUAGAUAUAUGAUUUGCUCUAUUAUUUAUGCAGUUCAGUUCAAUUUUGGUUUUUUAGUUUGGUACGGUUUGGUCCGUGGUUUUGGAUAAAUAUGCUCAAACUUAUACACUAUCUUAUAUAGAAAUUCGCUUAAAAUAUAUUUAAUUACAAAUACAAACCCGCGCUUUCUAAGCGCGGAUCAAAAUCUAGUAUUACUUAUAAACCAAACUAGCCAAACACCGGACUAACCUAUUAGUAUUUCUUUUUACCAAAAUAUUUAAAACUAUUAAAAUUCCGUGAUAGAACCAAAUCACUAGAAUAAUUUUUAUCUGAAAUAUUUAAAUUUAUUCAAAUUAUCCGAUAAUUUACCAAAAAAAAUCAAAAUGUCAUUUAACCCAAAUUAUUCAAAAUUAUCCGAAAAAUAGAAAUCAAACAAAACUGAAUUGAACUCAAAAUUGUAUUGAUUCAUAAUAUUGGUAUUUGAACCACACCAAAAAACAAAAUAACCAAACCUAAACUAAACUCAAUCUGGUAAAUAACUGAACCGGUUUAUAUCUGUUGAACUAAAAACAAAAAAAAAAAAAAUACAAAAACCAUAACUGAAAAUGAACCAAAACAAAACAAAAACUUGAAUCGAACCAAAAUGCGAACAAAAAAUAAAUUUAUCAACAAAAGUUAACCCAUGAACAAACAUACAUAUUAAUAUCAACAAAAAAUAAUUUUGCGCUUUAAAAGCUUCGAUCAAAAUCUAGCUACAUAUAAUUAUAAUACAAUACAGAUAUUUAAUAGUUGAAUAAUGAGUUUUUUACACCUAGAGACACUUUCUCACUUUUCAAUUAAUUUAUAAGAUAUUUAGUGCUUGAGACACACUUUCUCAUGUCAAAAAGACUCAUAUGACCGUAGAACUUUAUUGUUUCUCUCGUAGUCUUUAUGUUUUUAAUAUAAAAGUUGUUUUCUUCUCAUCACAUGAAUCUCUCUCCUCUUCUUAUUCCGCUUUAUGUUUUCAUUUACUUUUUUCUCAAAUUCUAAAAUGUAUUAAAUUAAAAUAAUUAUCAUAAUAAAUUAUACAUAAAAUUAUCUAUCUUUUAAGAUCUAUUUUUAUAUAUAUAAUGUGAUGUCAUAGAAAGGAAAGCUUAGAAAAAAUACUCUUGAUAUUAAAGUAAAUAAUUAAUAUUCCCUUUUAAAAUUUAUCGGUUAUGUUUUUAUAAAAUUUUGUACCUAUCAUCACUUUAUUUUAUAAUAUUAUUUUUACAAAUUAACAUAUACUAGAUGACUAAGAAAUCAAAUAUAUAUUUACAUAUCUAAUAUGAAAACCAAAACUAAUACAAUGAAUACAAAAAAAUAC